Molecule: ribosomal RNA, 497 nt
Filed under: uncultured bacterium
Lineage: Bacteria
Description: partial 16S ribosomal RNA
Rfam family: Bacterial small subunit ribosomal RNA
Source: RNAcentral
GAUGAACGCUGGCGGCGUGCCUAAUACAUGCAAGUCGAGCGAACGGACGAGAAGCUUGCUUUUCUGAUGUUAGCGGCGGACGGGUGAGUAACACGUGGAUAACCUACCUAUAAGACUGGGAUAACUUCGGGAAACCGGAGCUAAUACCGGAUAAUAUUUUGAACCGCAUGGUUCAAAAGUGAAAGACGGUCUUGCUGUAACUUAUAGAUGGAUCCGCGCUGCAUUAGCUAGUUGGUAAGGUAACGGCUUACCAAGGCAACGAUGCAUAGCCGACCUGAGAGGGUGAUCGGCCACACUGGAACUGAGACACGGUCCAGACUCCUACGGGAGGCAGCAGUAGGGAAUCUUCCGCAAUGGGCGAAAGCCUGACGGAGCAACGCCGCGUGAGUGAUGAAGGUCUUCGGAUCGUAAAACUCUGUUAUUAGGGAAGAACAUAUGUGUAAGUAACUGUGCACAUCUUGACGGCACCUAAUCAGAAAGCCACGGCUAACUACGUG